UGGGAAGUACUAGUGAAUUUAGAAGAAGAAGAAGAAGAAGAAAUGAAUGCAGUGCUUCCUCAACCCCAUUGGGGCAUUAACUUUGCUCGAAAUACAAUGGAGAAAAAGGAGUGGCUCACUAUGGUUGCACUUCACAGUGACACAUGGCUAUUUCGUGUUGCAUUCUAUUUUAGUUCAAGAUUUGGCCAUGACAAAGCUGAUAGAUAGGUAUGUUCUUCUUUGAUA
Molecule: long non-coding RNA, 225 nt
Organism: Ipomoea nil (Japanese morning glory)
Lineage: Eukaryota; Viridiplantae; Streptophyta; Magnoliopsida; Solanales; Convolvulaceae
Exons: 4
Source: RefSeq, a predicted model, not a curated record